RNAcentral lists this ribosomal RNA (370 nucleotides) under uncultured organism. RNAcentral describes it as "bacterial SSU rRNA". It matches the Rfam family "Bacterial small subunit ribosomal RNA", at positions 526 to 896 of the family's 1533-position model. The record is from RNAcentral.
CGUAGGGUGCAAGCGUUAAUCGGAAUUACUGGGCGUAAAGCGUACGCAGGCGGCUUUGCAAGACAGGUGUGAAAUCCCCGGGCCUAACCUGGGAACUGCAUUUGUGACUGCAUGGCUAGAGUUUGUCAGAGGGGGGUGGAAUUCCACGUGUAGCAGUGAAAUGCGUAGAUAUGUGGAGGAACACCGAUGGCGAAGGCAGCCCCCUGGGAUGUGACUGACGCUCAUGUACGAAAGCGUGGGGAGCAAACAGGAUUAGAUACCCUGGUAGUCCACGCCCUAAACGAUGUCGACUAGUUGUCGGAGGGUAACUCCUUCGGUAACGCAGCUAACGCGUGAAGUCGACCGCCUGGGGAGUACGGUCGCAAGAUUA